CAGUCGCCGCGGUAAUACGAAGGUCCCAAGCGUUGUUCGGAAUCACUGGGCGUAAAGGGAGCGUAGGCGGCGUGGUAAGUCAGAUGUGAAAUCCCGGGGCUCAAUCCCGGAACUGCAUCCGAUACUGCCAAGCUUGAGGGUUGGAGAGGUAGCUGGAAUUCUUGGUGUAGCAGUGAAAUGCGUGGAUAUCAAGAGGAACACUCGUGGCGAAGGCGAGCUACUGGACAACAUCUGACGCUGAGGCUCGAAGGCCAGGGUAGCGAAAGGGAUUAGAUACCCCCGUAGUCCCUGUCUCUUAUAC
Molecule: ribosomal RNA, 301 nt
Filed under: uncultured bacterium
Lineage: Bacteria
Description: partial 16S ribosomal RNA
Rfam family: Bacterial small subunit ribosomal RNA
Source: RNAcentral